GACGAACGCUGGCGGCGUGCCUAAUACAUGCAAGUAGAACGCUGAAGGAGGAGCUUGCUUCUCCGGAUGAGUUGCGAACGGGUGAGUAACGCGUAGGUAACCUGCCUGGUAGCGGGGGAUAACUAUUGGAAACGAUAGCUAAUACCGCAUAAGAGUAGAUGUUGCAUGACAUUUGCUUAAAAGGUGCAAUUGCAUCACUACCAGAUGGACCUGCGUUGUAUUAGCUAGUUGGUGGGGUAACGGCUCACCAAGGCGACGAUACAUAGCCGACCUGAGAGGGUGAUCGGCCACACUGGGACUGAGACACGGCCCAGACUCCUACGGGAGGCAGCAGUAGGGAAUCUUCGGCAAUGGACGGAAGUCUGACCCCCGCAACGCCGCGUGAGUGAAGAAGGUUUUCGGAUCGUAAAGCUCUGUUGUAAGAGAAGAACGAGUGUGAGAGUGGAAAGUUCACAGUGUGACGGAUCUACCA
This 472-nucleotide ribosomal RNA is filed under the name Streptococcus mitis. Its description in RNAcentral is "bacterial SSU rRNA". It matches the Rfam family "Bacterial small subunit ribosomal RNA", at positions 28 to 485 of the family's 1533-position model. The record is from RNAcentral. Lineage: Bacteria; Bacillati; Bacillota; Bacilli; Lactobacillales; Streptococcaceae.